CAGACAGCCAGCACAGGACGUGGAUCUCGGGGACGAGAACGGAUUAUUCAAAGACAGCGAGGCAUGACCACGUGUGGUGUUUGGAAGGCUUCAAGAAGGUAGACGCGGCUGAAGUACAGUGAGGAGAGAGAGAGACUCAACCUGGGAGCAGAUUAGGAAGGCCCUGGCCAGCUGCGGUAAGAAAUUUGGGCUUUUCCUGGAUUGGAAGGACGAGGCAGUUGAGAGGAAGCUGGAUUUCGGAAGAAGAGUCGGCAAAUAUACUUAAUGAACACUCUAAAAUACAUUAUUGAAACUUACCUGGCCUGGACAGAUCCUGACUCCUGUUGCCAUCAGGAAUCUGGUGAUCCCGGUGAGUAAAAUAAAGUAAGC
Herpailurus yagouaroundi (jaguarundi) is the source of this 369-nucleotide long non-coding RNA. RefSeq lists it as uncharacterized. The record is from RefSeq and is a predicted model, not a curated record. The transcript is spliced from 3 exons. NCBI's taxonomy places the organism in Eukaryota, Metazoa, Chordata, Mammalia, Carnivora, Felidae.